RNAcentral lists this ribosomal RNA (770 nucleotides) under uncultured bacterium. RNAcentral describes it as "bacterial SSU rRNA". It matches the Rfam family "Bacterial small subunit ribosomal RNA", at positions 54 to 824 of the family's 1533-position model. The record is from RNAcentral.
CAUGCAAGUCGAACGAAGCGCUUAAAUGGAUUUCUUCGGAUUGAAGUUUUUGUGACUGAGUGGCGGACGGGUGAGUAACGCGUGGGUAACCUGCCUCAUACAGGGGGAUAACAGUUAGAAAUGACUGCUAAUACCGCAUAAGCGCACAGUGCUGCAUGGCACAGUGUGAAAAACUCCGGUGGUAUGAGAUGGACCCGCGUCUGAUUAGCUGGUUGGUGGGGUAACGGCCUACCAAGGCGACGAUCAGUAGCCGGCCUGAGAGGGUGAACGGCCACAUUGGGACUGAGACACGGCCCAAACUCCUACGGGAGGCAGCAGUGGGGAAUAUUGCACAAUGGGGGAAACCCUGAUGCAGCGACGCCGCGUGAGCGAAGAAGUAUUUCGGUAUGUAAAGCUCUAUCAGCAGGGAAGAAAAUGACGGUACCUGACUAAGAAGCACCGGCUAAAUACGUGCCAGCAGCCGCGGUAAUACGUAUGGUGCAAGCGUUAUCCGGAUUUACUGGGUGUAAAGGGAGCGUAGACGGUUGUGUAAGUCUGAUGUGAAAGCCCGGGGCUCAACCCCGGGACUGCAUUGGAAACUAUGUAACUAGAGUGUCGGAGAGGUAAGCGGAAUUCCUAGUGUAGCGGUGAAAUGCGUAGAUAUUAGGAGGAGCACCAGUGGCGAAGGCGGCCUACUGGACGAUCACUGACGUUGAGGCUCGAAAGCGUGGGGAGCAAACAGGAUUAGAUACCCUGGUAGUCCACGCCGUAAACGAUGACUACUAGGUGUC